UACGUAGGGUGCGAGCGUUAAUCGGAAUUACUGGGCGUAAAGCGUGCGCAGGCGGUGCUGUAAGACCGAUGUGAAAUCCCCGGGCUUAACCUGGGAACUGCAUUGGUGACUGCAGCGCUGGAGUAUGGCAGAGGGGGGUGGAAUUCCACGUGUAGCAGUGAAAUGCGUAGAGAUGCGGAGGAACACCGAUGGCGAAGGCAGCCCCCUGGGCUAGCACUGACGCUCAGGCACGAAAGCGUGGGGAGCAAACAGG
Molecule: ribosomal RNA, 253 nt
Filed under: uncultured bacterium
Lineage: Bacteria
Description: partial 16S ribosomal RNA
Rfam family: Bacterial small subunit ribosomal RNA
Source: RNAcentral